RNAcentral lists this ribosomal RNA (727 nucleotides) under Camarothorax sp. 1227_01. RNAcentral describes it as "SSU rRNA". It matches the Rfam family "Eukaryotic small subunit ribosomal RNA", at positions 477 to 1163 of the family's 1831-position model. Lineage: Eukaryota; Metazoa; Arthropoda; Insecta; Hymenoptera; Epichrysomallidae. The record is from RNAcentral.
AUAACGAUACGGGACUCAUCCGAGGCCCCGUAAUCGGAAUGAGUACACUUUAAAUCCUUUAAUGAGGAUCCAUUGGAGGGCAAGUCUGGUGCCAGCAGCCGCGGUAAUUCCAGCUCCAAUAGCGUAUAUUAAAGUUGUUGCGGUUAAAAAGCUCGUAGUUGAAUCUGUGUGCCACGCUGUCGGUUCAUCGCUCGCGAUGUUUAACUGACAUGAUUGUGGGACGUCCUACCGGUGGACUUAGCCUUUCGGGGCGGUCCAGCUAAUAUCCCAUCGCGGUGCUCUUCAUCGAGUGUCGAGGUGGGCCGGUACGUUUACUUUGAACAAAUUAGAGUGCUCAAAGCAGGCUAUGUUACGCCUGAAUAUUCUGUGCAUGGAAUAAUGGAAUAGGACCUCGGUUCUAUUUUGUUGGUUUUCGGAACCCCGAGGUAAUGAUUAAUAGGGACAGAUGGGGGCAUUCGUAUUGCGACGUUAGAGGUGAAAUUCUUGGAUCGUCGCAAGACGGACAGAAGCGAAAGCAUUUGCCAAAAAUGUUUUCAUUAAUCAAGAACGAAAGUUAGAGGUUCGAAGGCGAUCAGAUACCGCCCUAGUUCUAACCAUAAACGAUGCCAGCUAGCGAUCCGCCGAUGUUCCUUUGAUGACUCGGCGGGCAGCUUCCGGGAAACCAAAGCUUUUGGGUUCCGGGGGAAGUAUGGUUGCAAAGCUGAAACUUAAAGGAAUUGACGGAAGG